Molecule: non-coding RNA, 296 nt
Organism: Pelodiscus sinensis (Chinese soft-shelled turtle)
Lineage: Eukaryota; Metazoa; Chordata; Testudines; Trionychidae
Source: RefSeq, a predicted model, not a curated record
UAGCAUGCUACUGUGGAGUUAAUAGCCACUCAGGCUCACAAAGCUGCUGCAGGGAGGGGUGCCAGGAAGAAGCUGCCCUAGGAGCAGGAAGAGGGAGCCUUCUAGUGUGUUAUCUGAAACUGGGGCUAGGUAAAAAUGUUGUCUUCCAUUCAGCACUAGUACAUGAACUGAAAUAUCCUCCUGUAGCAGUAGCAGUGAAAAAAGGCAUGGAACAACACUUCAAAUGGAAUCAGGGACCGAGGUGCACGUAUUCUUAACAAGGUGAAGGCAGAGCUGUCACAAGCCAGAGGAGAAUG